GAUGAACGCUAGCGGCAGGCUUAACACAUGCAAGUCGAGGGGUAGGAGAAGCUUGCUUUUCUGAGACCGGCACACGGGUGCGUAACGCGUAUGCAAUCUACCUUUCACAGAGGGAUAGCCCAGAGAAAUUUGGAUUAAUACCUCAUAGUAUAAUUGAGUGGCAUCAUUUAAUUAUUAAAGAUUUAUCGGUGAAAGAUGAGCAUGCGUCCCAUUAGCUAGUUGGUAUGGUAACGGCAUACCAAGGCAACGAUGGGUAGGGGUCCUGAGAGGGAGAUCCCCCACACUGGUACUGAGACACGGACCAGACUCCUACGGGAGGCAGCAGUGAGGAAUAUUGGACAAUGGGCGCAAGCCUGAUCCAGCCAUGCCGCGUGCAGGAUGACGGUCCUAUGGAUUGUAAACUGCUUUUAUACAGGAAGAAACACCUCUACGUGUAGAGACUUGACGGUACUGUAAGAAUAAGGAUCGGCUAACUCCGUGCCAGCAGCCGCGGUAAUACGGAGGAUCCAAGCGUUAUCCGGAAUCAUUGGGUUUAAAGGGUCCGUAGGCGGUCAGGUAAGUCAGUGGUGAAAGCCCAUCGCUCAACGGUGGAACGGCCAUUGAUUCUGUCUGACUUGAAUUAUUAGGAAGUAACUAGAAUAUGUAGUGUAGCGGUGAAAUGCUUAGAGAUUACAUGGAAUACCAAUUGCGAAGGCAGGUUACUACUAAUUGAUUGACGCUGAUGGACGAAAGCGUGGGUAGCGAACAGGAUUAGAUACCCUGGUAGUCCACGCCGUAAACGAUGGAUACUAGCUGUUGGGAGCAAUCUCAGUGGCUAAGCGAAAGUGAUAAGUAUCCCACCUGGGGAGUACGAACGCAAGUUUGAAACUCAAAGGAAUUGACGGGGCCCGCACAAGCGGUGGAGCAUGUGGUUUAAUUCGAUGAUACGCGAGGAACCUUACCAAGGCUUAAAUGUAGAUUGACCGGUUUGGAAACAG
RNAcentral lists this ribosomal RNA (977 nucleotides) under uncultured bacterium. RNAcentral describes it as "bacterial SSU rRNA". It matches the Rfam family "Bacterial small subunit ribosomal RNA", at positions 28 to 1009 of the family's 1533-position model. The record is from RNAcentral.